AAAGGGAGACCUAAUUCAGGUAAGAGACGAAAAAAAAGUAGUCGCUACCAAGAAUCAAUCCCAAAAGGUCGGAGCGAGGCGAAAUUGGCUUUCAAACUAGGUUCUGGGUUCAAACAAGACCUGAAUCAGGAACAAGGGCUAUUAGCUCAGGUGGUUAGAGCGCACCCCUGAUAAGGGUGAGGUCCCUGGUUCGAGUCCAGGAUGGCCCACCUGCACAGGUGGCAAAAACAAGAGAAGCGAGGAAUCAGCACCUUAUCUUACUGACAUAGUAAGAGAGAAUGCUGGCUCUGAGUAAAGAGUCUAGAGGAACCUUGAAAACUGCAUAGAGCUAGGUGAAAAAGCCAAAAAAGAAGACCGCAAG
Molecule: transfer RNA, 361 nt
Filed under: uncultured Microcystis sp.
Lineage: Bacteria; Bacillati; Cyanobacteriota; Cyanophyceae; Chroococcales; Microcystaceae
Description: partial 16S-23S ribosomal RNA intergenic spacer
Rfam family: tRNA (bases 136-209)
Source: RNAcentral